CAGUGAAAGGGUUUUGUUGUUUUUGUUUUUUUUUUUUUGCCAGAGUACCAUGGAACUUAAGAUUUUUUCAAGUGCAUCCAGAUAUGUUUAUCAGCAUCCUGAUGUCUCCAUUCUAGUAGUAUUUUUAUUACUAAAUUAUUUUCACCUGACACACACUGUAGACAAAUUAAUUUUGCUCCUUGUAAAUCUUGUGUGCACAUUCUAUGUAUACACUGAGAGAGCAAUAAAUACAAUUGCAAUACACAAGUUUAUACUGUACAAAAACAAAGAAAGGCAGCGGCAACCCUCUGGAAUUGGUAACAAUAUCCAUUUCAGUUCUAAAACUUGUGCUGUAGAGCAGCUGAAAUAAAUUUAGGUUUCAAAAUAUUGUCCUGUUUAGGGAGCUUGAGGGAAAGAAUCAAAAGAAAUGGUGUUUAUCUUACUGGUUCUCCAUGAUUUUUGACAAAUUUAUGAUUAAAUUCCAGAUGGAAAUUAAUUUGGGUCAAAAGUGGCAUCACUAAUUGAAAAACUACCCGAAGAUUUCAUUGCACUCAGCUGUGCAUUUGGGGUUGAGUCAGUCCAUUCCAGAAGCAUUGAAAAUAUCUGUAGCCCCUUAAGAUCUUGGAACCUUCUAUUUCCCCGGGCCCCAGGGUCUCAUUUUGAGUAGAUGUUCAAUAAUAUGCUUUCUGAUAAAAUACAGAGAAAUAUGCCAAGAUACCAUGAGGUAGAGAGAUGGUGUCAACAAAAAGAGAGACAUUCUUUCCUUACAAAUACUUUAGUUUAAUCUAAACCAAGGGACAGAGUUGCUCUGGGCUGGUCUCAGGAAUCCAGAUGGAUAAUACAACCUCAUGAAAGGAAAUUGUCGAAUCUAUCAAAUAGAAAGAGACCUCCUGGUGAAAUAACUUUAACAAAUACAUUACUAUUUUUCAUCCUGUUCAUACUAUUUUAAUCAUCAUCAUAGGACCAUUUUAUGCCUCUUAUUUUAGCUCUUAAGAAGCCAAGGACUGAUUUUUUUAGAAGCCAGUAAAUGCUUUCAGUUGAAUAAUACUUUGUCAGAUGGCCAAAGGGUUAUCCACAUGCAAAUUUUUGUUUUGAAUUAUAAAGAUGUUUCCAUCAAUUUAUACUACAGUCCUGUCCCCCAUUAAAAUAAAAAUUAAAAGUUAAAAUUCCCAUGAUUUACUAUUUUUUACUUGGUUGUAAAACCCAAAAUGUGUGAAAGGCUAAAAGGUCUAGCAAGUAAUUCUUGUUUUCUUCAUUUAAUUUUCUCUACUCUUUCCUCAUUGGAUAUAAUCCCCAGCAGCUCUGGAGAUUUGUAGUAUCAGGUAACAAAGCUGGGAUAAUGCAGCAGAGCACAAACCCAUGGCUGUUCCUAAAAAAGAGGAUAGAGAUGACCUCUGGAAGAAUAAUGCAAUUUAGUGCUGCUCCACUGGAUUUACUCCUGUUUGUGCUUGUUAGCAUUAGAAGGCAAAAAGCCAGACAGCAAGGAGAGAAAAAAAGUGCUAGAAAAGUCAAAUCAAGGUAAAUGCUCAGGAAGCUUGUAGUAAUUUUAAGACCUUCAUAUUAGAUUAGAAAAUCUGCAAGUUUACAAAUUAAUUGGCAUAAAUAUACAUACUGAAAUAAUUAUGAAUUAUAAUUAUAUUGAAGGCUAAUUACAGUAUCUCUUUCUUCUGUAAAUCAGGUGCUGAUCUUCUGUAAAUAACUCACUCUAGUGAAAUCUCAUGAACAACAUAUACUUAGUAUUUGUUAAUAUUCUACUGUUUAGACAGAGUACAGAUCAGAAUUUCAUCAUUCCCAGUAAUUUUUUCCCUCUCCUUCCUUCCUUCUUUUCUUCUCUUUUUUUUCCUUUUCUUUUGUUUUUCUUUCCACUUCACACUGGAGCUUUUCCUCACUGGGUCGAGGGGGCUCUCCCAGGAUUUUAGUCCCUCUGGUUGCUGUGCCACUGAGAUGCUGGAUAGAGAAAUUCCAUUGAGUCAACUGAGGAAAUUCCACAUCCAUGGGAAUGUCACUGUCAAGCCCAGGGCUGCGGAGUGAUGGGGAGAGAAUGGAGUGCAGACUGAAGCAGGACUUUCCUGCCCUCCUGGUCCUGCCACUGUAGCCACAAAAGAGCUCAAGAUGUCGCCUUUGCUUUAAAGGAAACCAUCCAGUGCUUGGAUUUAUCCUAGCCUGGGAUACAACUCCCCUUGGGCUUGGAAUUACCUCAAGUGAUUUACAGCUCCUGCUGAAAGGCUCCAUUAUAUUCCCAGGCUUUGUUAGUGGCAUGGGCUGGAUGAUUUAGGAUGGAGGCUAUCAGAGGUUAUUGUGUUGUCUGGAUAACGUGAGGAGAUUUCUGCUUGUGUUUCCCACUCAUGUAGUUUUCUCAACCUUUUAUCUGCAGGGCACAUAGACUGAGCUUUCAGGAAAGAAAGAAGCAGGAAAUCUAUAGUGGCAACCUGCCCUCUGGCCAGCGUGCUGCUAGCAGUCCAAAUUGGAGUGGCUGCAGUCCUCUUGGGAUGGCAGAUAUGGUUGCUGUGUUUUCUCGGAAACCUGUGGAA
This is a long non-coding RNA of Taeniopygia guttata (zebra finch), 2510 nucleotides long. The record is from Ensembl. Lineage: Eukaryota; Metazoa; Chordata; Aves; Passeriformes; Estrildidae.